UUUUUUAUUUAUUUUUUAUUUUUUUAUUUAAAUAAUGAUUUAUUAUAUAUAUAAAUAACAAUGGCAUAACAGUCUUUUGCCACUUAAUGAAGAAGGUAUUUUUGAAAAUGUCUCAUUAGUGGUGGUAAAAAUGAAAAGUGGUAUCAUGAAAGUGGUAAACAUGUAAUUUCCCCUUAAUUAUAAUAAAAAUAAUUAUACUUAAGUUUGAAUCCUAAAGGAUAUAUGUGAUUCAAUAUACUCACAACAUGAUUAACUCAAGUAAUCCAACUUAUAUCUAAAACCAUAGAUUUAACUAUAAUAAGAAUAUAUAGUUUUAUAAUAAUAAUUUUUUUUAUAAAUGUAAAUUAUAGGAUGACUCAAAACAUAUUAACAAAUGAAACUAAAAUAUCAACCAACUGUUAUAAUUUAUUUCUUUUGUAAAAUUUAUAUAUAUGCAUGAAAUUGUAGAAUAUUAUCGUUAUAUUAACUUACAUAAUUUGGAAUCAGACACUUUUGUUUAUUUUAUAUUUCAUUCUAAGCACAAUAUAUCUUAAGUUAUACAUAAUCUUCUUAAAUAUAUUCAUAUAUCUAAGACAACAACCAAUGUAAAUGCAAAUAAGAAAAUUAUUCAUAUAUUAUAUUUAAAACAAAAAAAAUAUUAUAGUUGAAUUCAGAGAAAUAUAUGAAAUCAAAUAUACGCAAAUGAUAAUUAAAUCGACUAUAAAAAAUAACAAAACCAACUAGAUAUAACAUAUCUAAAAUCAUAUGUCUGAUUAAAGUAAUAUAAUAUUAUUAAUAAAAAAUUUGCUUACAAAUUAUAAAUUAAUUUAAAAUAAAUAACAAUCAAUUAUUAUAAUAUAUUUUUUUAUAAAUAUUUAUAUCCGUGCAUGAGCACGGAAAAAUCACCUAGUUAUAUGUAUUUAGGUAUCACGAAUAAUAUUUUGUAAUAGUCAGAUUUGAUAUUUAACAACAAAAAUAUUCCUUUUUCACUUUUCUAAUUACUUGACAAAUUAUGCCAUUAAUAAACUGAGGGAAAAAAAUACUUCUCAUAAUUUUGUGAAGCACGCUUAAUGCAUUUGCUUCGAUGACAAUCUAUAUUAAUCAUAUAACUAUGGCUGUCAAAAAAAAAUCAUAUAACUAAACUUUAGUAUUUUAAGGUUGUGUUUUGCAUAUGCUGAUUUCUAGGUUCUAACGAUUUCAGUGAAUGCUCAUACAGAUAAUUACUAUUUGAAUCGGAGUAUUUACAAGAUGAUUAUGGGUUUAGGAUAGAUUAUUGUGAGAAUAUAAAAUUUUACAAUUAGAAGUUUAACUAAGACAUGAAUAAUAUAUAAAAAAAAUUAAAAUCAACUCUUUUAUUAUUAAUUGAUUUUAAAUUGAAAACACAUAAUAAAUCUGAAUUUAAUAUACUAACAAAACUAUAUUAGGACUAAUCCAUUUAGAGCAAUCUUAUGGGUUGAUAUUGCAUUGGGAUAUCCAAAACUAAAAAAUAUUGUUAGUUUAAUCUGUUUUGUCUAAAAAAAAUUAAUUUUAUUUUUAAAUUAAUUCAGUUGGAGAAAAAUAUAUGGCCAUGUCUAUACUAUUAAAAGAAAAUCAUUUUCAAAAUCUAUUUAAAAAAUAUUGUUCGACCUUUUUAUUAACUAAUUAUUUUUUGGUUAUAUCUAAUAUUUUUCUAAUUAUCUUUACUUAUACGGUAAAAUUAAUGUUGCUACCGAUUCAUAUGCAUUUAAUAGUAUAACACAUUAAACCUUUUAUAAAUAUGUUGAUGACAGUAGCAAUCACUUAUGUCCUCAAGAGAUUCACAUACAUUUAAAGUAUAAUAACACAUCAGUAAGUACCAAUUCAUAUACGUUUAAUAAUAUUACACAUCAAAUAAAUACCAUUUAUAUAUACGAUAGCAAUGGCUUCUAUUUCCAGCCAAGAUCUAUAACUUCUGGUUUUUCUUCUUCUCCCUACCUCAUUAACAGACAGCAAAUUAUUAAUCAAACCACCUAAAACAUAGCCUUCAAAUCUCAAAAUUUAAAAUUUAACCAACGAACACCAUAGCUUCUUCUCAAAAUUAUUUAACUAAUUUGAUACCAAAUUAGGACUUUGGCUAAAAAAAAUUAUUAUUAUAAAAUUAAUUUUUUUAUAAAAUAAAGAAAAUAUAAAAUUUUAAAAUAGAUUAACACUAAUAAAAAUAAAAUAAUAUUGAAUUAUAAAAUAUUUUUAUUUUUUAAUCACUAUUUCUACAUUUUAUUUAUUGGUACAUGAAAAAUUUUAUCAAAAAUUAAGAAUCACAAAUCAAAUAGUUUAUUGGACUUUAUUUAUACUAUUAAAAAAAUCAUUCUAAAAUCAACUGUAAAAAAGUUGUUGCACUUAUAUAUAACAAUUUAUUAUUAUUUCAAAAUUGUAAAUAUUUGAAAUGAAUCAUAUUAAUACUCCUUAUUUCAUAUGAUUCACUUCUUCUUUACAAUAUUUUUAUCACUUAAUAUUAUGUAGGUCCAUAUUGGGUUUGGAUAGGUUAUUUUGGAUCCGGAUCAGUUCGAGUCUAUAAUUCAAAAUAAAUUUUGGUACAUAAUGGAUAUGGGUCAGUUUGGGUAUUUAGAAUCAGAAAAUAUUCAAAGUAUUCGAAAAUCUGAAAAACCAAAACACAAGAAUCUAAAUAAAUACCUCAAAAUAUUCAAAUACUCAAAAGCCCAAAAUUUUAUACGAGGAACCAAAAAUAUCCAAAGUUUUAUUCUAAUAGUCGAAAUAUAAUUUUAAAAUUUUGGAAUUUUACUGAAGCCCGAAAUUAUAACCAAAAAUCCAAAUCUAAAAUCUAAAAAACUCUAUAAUACUGAAAACAUAUACAGAAUAUCCAAAUAUACAUAAUAUACACAAAACAUUUCAGGUACUUUGGGUAACUGGACUCGAAUAAAGACCUGCAGGUCCAAAAACAAAACUCAGUAUGUAGUUUCCUCGAUCCCAAACAUGUAUUUUCGUGUUGGUUUCGGUUCAGUUUUUGGAUCCAGGUAAAAUACAUGUGCCGUUGUCUCUUACUUUCUCUUCCUAUCUCUCUCUAUUUUCUUUUCCAAAAUCUAAUUUCUCUUUUUUUUUUUUGUUAUUUAGCAAAAAAAAAAGCCCAAAAGUAAACCGGAAGGUAAUUUUUCUAUUUUCAUGGAUAAUAUCAAUAGCGAACAGAUGAUCCUGUCGGAAAUUGGUCGUUUAGAUGAUAGACAGCUAAAAAUUGGGAGCACCACCUGAAGACAAAGAAGAUAGAUAGUUCACAGCCCUCCAAUAAAUAUAAGCCACGUAUCACUGACUGCUAAGCGUCGCCGUGUGAUUGGACUUUUAUGAUAUAGGUUAAUCUUGUGAUAUCGACUCUUAUGUGGCUACUUGCUUUAUUUGUGGCAUUCUAUAAAACACGCAGUAACAUUUUUUUUUUUUUUUUUUCAGAAAAAUUUAUAGCGACUUGUAGAUUUUAGAGUUUUCUUUUUGGGCAGUGAAAGUAUACAGCGGCAUGAGCGUGUUAAAUGGUGCGGAACUGAAUAAUAGUUUCCAUUCACAAUAGUUUUAUAAUUUAUGCUCAAUCGCACUUGAUAAGAUUUUAUUGAACCGCACUUAUAACUAUAACACACCAAUUAUGUCGUGAGUUUAAUUAUUAUAGUGCGGUACAACAUAAAAAUAUAUUUUAAUUUUUUUCUUCUAAAAACUAAAAAACAGUGAAUAUCAUUUGUAUUUAUUAAUUCAGUUUUAUUUGAGGCAAAAUAUUUAACUAAAUUAUAAUUUUAUUUUAUUAUUUAAAGAUAUAUUAUAUAAUGCAGUUAACUUUGUUACCAUUCAAACUUUAUUAGAAACUGAUUUUUUUAUGUUAACUGCUUAUGUUCUACAAUAUGUGUUUUUCUUAUAAAACCACACUUGAACCGUACCACAUCAUAUUAUCCGUUUUAUCCGCACUGCUCAACUUACUGUAAUCAUUCGGAGCCUUGGUUUUGAAUAUCUGAUUUAUUGUCUAUUCAAGAUUAUUUUAAUGGUUUUUCUCAAGAUUAGAAAACUUGUGUUUGUGUAUUUUCACCAAUUAUCCAAGAAAAAUUAUAAACCGUAUUUGCUUGGGGGAUUUUAUCUUCAAAAUCAGCAUGGUCCACAAAAGUUUUUUUUAAUUAUUAACUUGAAAAUUCAAAUGGAUUGAAAACAAUGAUAUAUAUUCAUAUUUAUGAGUUUUGUUUACAUAAUUAUUGAAGUCUGAUAUUAUUUUGCAACUUUUGAACAAUUAAAUCCAUCUCGCCGAAGAUAAAAAUGUAAACCUAUAAGUGGUCGAUUAAUUUUUUCUAAAACUAUGUAUAUGUAAUAUAAAUAACUAAACCACAAGAUAUAGUAUUUCUAGGAUUUAAGGGUAUUUAAAUAGGAAAUAGACAAAUAUAAAAGGUAAUCAUUUUAGAGAAUUCUUUAUAGUUUUAAUUUUUGGGGAUGUAUUGAAUUGAAAUUUGAAAUGAUUUAAUUUUUAAUGAGUCUUUAGAUGAUUGUAGAUGAAUCUGAGAAUUUAGUGUGAUUUUUGUUAAAUAACUUAAAUUUUGUUCAAUAACGGUAGAUUUCAAAGUGUUUUUGAAAUGACAAUUUCAAUAAUACUGAAUUUUAAAGUGUUUUUCAAAAUCUACAUUUGAAUAACAGUAAUUUUUUUAUUUUAGUACAAAUUACUUUAAACUCUUAGUUGAAUAUAUCUCCUGUAGUUUCUUGUUAUAUAGAAAAGUAUAGAGCAUGGAUAUUUUAGUCUUUGUUUACGUUUUGUUUAGAUUUUGGUAUCUAAAUAUUUGUUUAUGUCCAGGUUUUAAAAGUUUGUGAAGCACAUCUAUAUAUGUAUGUGGCAUUGUUAUAAAAUAAGAAUUUAGGUCAUUCAUAUACGUAGACCAAAUAUAAUUUUCCACUUUUUCUGAUAUUAAAAUGAAGACCUAGCUUGUACCAAAUUGACUAUUUCACUAGUUUUAUAUUUUAGCAAGAACAAAAUUUUAUAAAAGAUAUAACAGAAAUAUACGUUAAAAGGAAGACAUAUAUACAAAAGCUAACAGAAGUGAUUGGUUUAGCUCUAGAUGCUUUUUGACAGCCAAAAUAUAGUUUAUAACCAUAUAUAUAUAUCAACCAAUUAAACUUUUAUCUUGUUAAAAAAAAGAGCAAAUUAGCUCAAUAUACUUAAAAGGGUGAGAUACCAUACAAAUGGGAGAAAAUGGUAAUGAUGGGGGAAGAAAAUUGGAGGGAUUUAGGGUAUAGAAUGCAAAUAGGGGAUACUUGGUGUGUAGAGAGUACAAAUUCUCUAUAAAAAAAAUCAACAGAAAGAAAUAAAAAGGCUACAAAGAGCUUUAUUUUCCAGAGUAAAAAUUAGUUAUUUACAAAGUUACAUCAAACAAAAAUUACAGAAAAUAAAUUUACACUUUAAAUUUUAUAGCAAAAAACAUAAAAUUACGAUUCAUUCCGGUCAUCUCCAAGAUGUCCAAAAAUUGAUGUUGAUACUUUAUACAGAGAGUGUUGCUGGAAGCCAUCUUCAAGUAGAAUAUAAUUUCUUUUCAUUAUUUCUUACGUAUAUUCGUUAACUAAUUAAGCACACAUGCCACAAAUUAAACAACCUUAAUCAAGUUUUUUUGUUAAUUAUCAAAGUAAUAAACCCUAAACACAUAAGCAUUGAUGUUUGGAACAGUUGAAACCUAUCCUACCGAUUCGAGACUCGAGCAGCUAUGAACCAGUCAUCUGUAGUUGUAACAAUGAUUAGUAUAUUAUAGCCGCGUAUGUCAGCUCCUCUUCUGGAUAAAAUCAUAUUUAAGAUAACAAUGAUUUUCCAUAUUGACGAAGCGAGAUAUAAAGUUGAAAUGGCAAAUAUAGCUUUGGAAUAGUACAAGUUGUAUACGCAACUCCAAGAUAAACUUCAAUUUUCACGUGCUGUAAAAGAUGAAAGCAGUUAUUCAACAACUUGGUCAACUGGGUAUUAUGAACACACCAAUUGGCAAAGCGGAAAAGUGAGAUUAAGUGAAGCAUAUCGUCAUCUUCAAAUAUUAGUGGUUUCUGAGUCAUUUUCUAUAACUAGGUCAAGAUUCAAUAACCAAACAAUAUAAUAAGAUUAAUCAACCAAAUAAACAAGUGGUUUUAGUUUCUAAGAUCCUCUAUAGGAUCAUUUAAAAAAAUGUAACAUUUAGUUUUUACUAAAUUUAAAGAGACUCUACUAAGGUAUCACUUAAUUACUAUGAUAAUUUAGCUUACGUGACAGCUAGGGAUGUUGUCAUGGGCAAAAAAACCCGGCCCGGCCCGAACCCAAACUAAACCCGCCCAGAAAAUACCCUAAACUAUAAAACCCGAAAAAACCCGGUACUAUUAGGGUAACUCGCGAAAAACCCUAGAACUUUAGGGUUACCCACGGGUACCCGAAAAAACUCUUUUUUGAGUUUUGUGGUUUUUUAGUUAAAGUUUUAUAGUUUUAACUUAAAUUUAUAUGUAUUGAAUAUUUAAUUUUAAUCAUGUUUUGUAUUAAAUUUGAUUAAUUUUCAAUUAUCAAAUUUAUUUUCUGUAUAAAGUAACAAAUAAAAUUUUCAUCAUUCAUAAUUUUCAAUUUGCAAAUUUAUACUAUAUCCAUAAUGUAAGUAAAUAAAUAAGUUAUAGAAAGUGCAAAAUUUAAUAGUGGGCAUUGUAUGUUUUGAUUUAUACAUCUAAUUUUUGAUUUCAAUCAUUUAAAUCCUUAAAAAUUAGGGUAAAAGUAGUCCUUUCAAUUAUAUAUAUAUAUAUAUUUAAAAACCCAUAGGGUACCCGAAACCCGAUAGGGUAAAACCCGAACGGGUAAUUUAUAAAUCAAGACCCGCCCAAAAUAAACCCGCGAAUUUUGAAAACUGAAUAUACGGGUUUUGGUUUUUAAAUUCCAACCGGGUUUAGGGUACCCUAUGGGUAAAAACCCAUUGUUAACAUCCCUAAAUACCACUAUUAAUUCUUGAAUUCCUUUUUAAUAAGACACGUAAAACAAGUCGUAUAAAGAGAUGAUAAUAAAAUAGCGAUGAUAAUAAAAACAAGUCGUAUAAAGAGAUGUAUGUAUGAACUAACCAUGGGAAUUUUAAUAUCACAUUCUGUAAGGAGGUCAUAUGCAUUUCGGAGUAUAUCCAACAAUGCACCAUCUGGUGUCUGUAAGGAAAAAGAUAAAGUUGAAAAUUAGAUCAAUUACAUUUGAGUAAAUAAAUUAACGCAAUGAUACAAGAGAAUAAGACAAAGAAGGGCUACGCAAGUGGUAA
Molecule: long non-coding RNA, 7193 nt
Organism: Brassica rapa (field mustard)
Lineage: Eukaryota; Viridiplantae; Streptophyta; Magnoliopsida; Brassicales; Brassicaceae
Source: RefSeq, a predicted model, not a curated record